Long non-coding RNA from Gymnodraco acuticeps, 207 nucleotides. RefSeq lists it as uncharacterized. The transcript has 3 exons. The record is from RefSeq and is a predicted model, not a curated record. Lineage: Eukaryota; Metazoa; Chordata; Actinopteri; Perciformes; Bathydraconidae.
GAACAGCGAUAUUUCAGAAUGAGGAAAGCUGCAGUUUUGCUGCUCUGUCUGCUCUGGACGGGGGCUCAGGGUGAGGAUGGAGCUCUAGAGAACAGGAUGAGCUCCAGUGAAAAGCAGGUGGUGGAGUUCCAGACACAUAACUCAGCCGGUACUCAGGUGGCGUUCUCAGUCGGUCUCAGUGAUGCAGGAGUAGUCGGACCCUUCGGC